Molecule: ribosomal RNA, 494 nt
Filed under: uncultured bacterium
Lineage: Bacteria
Description: partial 16S ribosomal RNA
Rfam family: Bacterial small subunit ribosomal RNA
Source: RNAcentral
GACGAACGCUGGCGGCGUGCUUAACACAUGCAAGUCGAACGGAAAGGCCUGCUUUCCCUUGUGGAUUGCGGGUACUCGAGUGGCGAACGGGUGAGUAACACGUGAGUGAUCUGCCCCCAACUUGGGUAUAAGCCUGGGAAACUGGGUCUAAUUCCCGAUAGGACUGCAGGGUGGUGCCUGUGGUGGAAAACGAUUUUCUAGUGGUUGGGGAUGAGCUCGCGGCCUAUCAGCUUGUUGGUGGGGUAAUGGCCUACCAAGGCGGCGACGGGUAGCCGGCCUGAGAGGGUGGACGGCCACAUUGGGACUGAGAUACGGGCCAGACUCCUCCGGGAGGCAGCAGUGGGGAAUAUUGCACAAUGGGCGGAAGCCUGAUGCCGCGACGCCGCGUGGGGGAUGACGGGCUUCGGGUUGUAAACUCCUUUCGACCGCGAGGAAGCCACCUGGUUGGAAGGGUGGUGACGGUAGUGGUAGAAGAAGCACCGGCUAACUACGUG